This 478-nucleotide ribosomal RNA is filed under the name uncultured bacterium. Its description in RNAcentral is "partial 16S ribosomal RNA". It matches the Rfam family "Bacterial small subunit ribosomal RNA", at positions 28 to 523 of the family's 1533-position model. The record is from RNAcentral.
GACGAACGCUGGCGGCGUGCUUAACACCUGCAAGUCGAACGGUAAGGCCCUUCGAGGUACACGAGUGGCGAACGGGUGAGUAACACGUGGGUGAUCUGCCCUGCACUUCGGGAUAAGCCUGGGAAACUGGGUCUAAUACCGGAUAGGACCACUGCCUGCAUGGGUGGUGGUGGAAAGCUUUUGCGGUGUGGGAUGGGCCCGCGGCCUAUCAGCUUGUUGGUGGGGUGAUGGCCUACCAAGGCGACGACGGGUAGCCGGCCUGAGAGGGUGACCGGCCACACUGGGAUUGAGAUACGGCCCAGACUCCUACGGGAGGCAGCAGUGGGGAAUAUUGCACAAUGGGCGCAAGCCUGAUGCAGCGACGCCGCGUGAGGGAUGACGGCCUUCGGGUUGUAAACCUCUUUCAGCACCGACGAAGCGCAAGUGACGGUAGGUGCAGAAGAAGGACCGGCCAACUACGUGCCAGCCGCCGCCGUAA